Molecule: transfer RNA, 76 nt
Filed under: Homaloptera confuzona
Lineage: Eukaryota; Metazoa; Chordata; Actinopteri; Cypriniformes; Balitoridae
Description: tRNA-Lys
Rfam family: tRNA
About the family: Transfer RNA (tRNA) molecules are approximately 80 nucleotides in length. Their secondary structure includes four short double-helical elements and three loops (D, anti-codon, and T loops).
Source: RNAcentral
CACUAGGAAGCUAAAUACGGGUAACAGCAUUGGCCUUUUAAGCCAAAGAUUGGUGCCUCCCAACCACCUCUAGUGA